AACUGAAAGGAAAUCACCCAAGGGAGCAGAAACAGGACUCGGUAGGAGCACAGAUCUUACAUACACUCAUCCAUGCGUGGGAUGAGAUAUCCUUGUGACGCUGUGAAAUGUCCACACCUGGGAAAGUUCUCAAGGAUGUCUGUCUGUCUUGUGGUGACGCCUGAAGGCUGUGGCUCAGUGCGAGGUCUUUCGAGGUGGGUAGGAUUAGGGGCGCAGCCCUGCCUAGUUACCUGGGCCACUUUGGAAAGGGAACUUCAAAUCUCUGAUGCCCAGCUUCUGCAUCUGUGAAAUAGGCAUCACUCUGUCGCUCUCCCGGGAUACUUGUGUGAAGAGAAUGUCGUGAGAGCUCCAGCAGGUGGUAGGAAUGUGAUCGACGGGAGACACAGUGAGGUGCCUCAGUGCACACUCAGGGAACCACUGACCCUCUCACCUACUAUCCUCUCCCCAGGGACCACGGGGAUCCCCCCCCUCGCUGUGGUCUUUGCCCUUCUCUUCCUGCUUGGAGCCUUCCUCAUCUACAAAUACACCCGGUGGGGCGGGUUCAGGAAAACAAGGGCUAAGUACCUGGGAGGAAAUGGGAGAAACAGAACGGGAAAGUGACAUCACAGGGUCAACACUGUCUCUGUCUCUUUCAUCCCCAGGGGCGGCUCCCGACAAGAUGACCCAAUGGUAGAGCCACUCAGCAAAUCCCAUCAGCCCAUACCGAACCCUUCCCCCACUAUUGCCUUGACCACUCAAGACCCCCUUUCUUACCUGAACCUUUCAUGUGCCCCCGACCAGCCCCGACGAUCAUCCCCAAGUGUCUCUCCACGUCCUCUCUUCUCAUGACCACCUUCCACUUCUCGCUCAAUGUUCUUCCCUUGGAUCCUCUCCUCGUGGACCACACUGUCCCCAACCACUUCUCCUCCUCAGCUCUCAAGACUUUGCUGAGCACCUGAAUGACGUGGGGACCCUCGUGUGGGGUGUAUGAGCUUGGAGGAGGUUGGGGGGGACUUUGGUUUACACAUAAUCUUGCUGGGCGCCUCACCUCCGCCUCCCCGCAAGGAUCCUGACGUCUCACUCCAAUUCCCUUUGUCUCCGGUGCCUCACUGUUUCUCUCUUUCAGCUCCUGCUCUUCUGAGGAAAAAGUGGGGACAAGUAAUCAGCCCGGGAAAGAGAGCGAUGAUACAGCCACAGCCAUGAUGAACCGUCCUCCUGCGUCGGAUGAAGCAUCCCAGGUCUCAAGAGCUGAGGAACCCCACGGAGUGACAUAUGCUGAGCCGGACAUCAGAGCCCUAAGUGAGGGUCCUUCCAGCCAGAUGGAACAGCCCCUAAAAACCUGUGUGUACUUGACCCUCAAGACAUAGCUGGGAGAGUGCCUGGAGCCCAGCAAACAAGAUCUUCCGAUGGAUGAUGGAGAGCCCUUGGGGCACCAGGCAAAUGGGGAUCCCUUUCCUCAAAUCUGCAAUGAAGACUCGUUUCCUUCUAAAAAUUUAUUUUUUUACAUGAGAGGUAUCAGGGCGCUGGGGUGGCUCAGUCGGUUGAGCGUCUGACUUCGGCCCAGGUCAUGAUCAUGAUCUCAUAGUUCAUGAGUUUGAGCCCCACGUCAUGCUCUGUGCUGACAGCUUGGAGCCUGGAGCCUGCUUUAGAUUCUGUGACUCCCUUUCUCUGUCUGUCC
Neofelis nebulosa (Clouded leopard) is the source of this 1657-nucleotide long non-coding RNA. RefSeq lists it as uncharacterized. The record is from RefSeq and is a predicted model, not a curated record. The transcript is spliced from 3 exons. Lineage: Eukaryota; Metazoa; Chordata; Mammalia; Carnivora; Felidae.